UAUACCGUGAAACUGCGAAUGGCUCAUUAAAUCAGUUAUCGUUUAUUUGAUAAUACCUUACUACUUGGAUAACCGUGGUAAUUCUAGAGCUAAUACAUGCUGAAAAUCCCGACUUCGGAAGGGAUGUGUUUAUUAGAUAAAAAACCAAUGCCCUUCGGGGCUUUUUGGUGAUUCAUGAUAACUUUACGGAUCGCAUAGCCUUGCGCUGGCGACGGUUCAUUCAAAUUUCUGCCCUAUCAACUUUCGAUGGUAAGGUAUUGGCUUACCAUGGUUUCAACGGGUAACGGGGAAUUAGGGUUCGAUUCCGGAGAGGGAGCCUGAGAAACGGCUACCACAUCCAAGGAAGGCAGCAGGCGCGCAAAUUACCCAAUCCCGACACGGGGAGGUAGUGACAAUAAAUACUGAUACAGGGCUCUUUUGGGUCUUGUAAUUGGAAUGAGUACAAUUUAAACCUCUUAACGAGGAACAAUUGGAGGGCAAGUCUGGUGCCAGCAGCCGCGGUAAUUCCAGCUCCAAUAGCGUAUAUUAAAGUUGUUGCAGUUAAAAAGCUCGUAGUUGAAACUUGGGCCUGGCUGGCGGGUCCGCCUCACCGCGUGCACUCGUCCGGCCGGGCCUUCCUUCUGAAGAACCUCAUGCCCUUUACUGGGCGUGCUGGGGAAUCAGGACUUUUACUUUGAAAAAAUUAGAGUGUUCAAAGCAGGCCUUUGCUCGAAUACGUUAGCAUGGAAUAAUAAAAUAGGGCGUGCGUUUCUAUUUUGUUGGUUUCUAGAGACGCCGCAAUGAUUAACAGGAACAGUCGGGGGCAUCAGUAUUCAGUUGUCAGAGGUGAAAUUCUUGGAUUUACUGAAGACUAACUACUGCGAAAGCAUUUGCCAAGGAUGUUUUCAUUAAUCAGUGAACGAAAGUUAGGGGAUCGAAGACGAUCAGAUACCGUCGUAGUCUUAACCGUAAACUAUGCCGACUAGGGAUCGGGCGAUGUUCUUUUUCUGACUCGCUCGGCACCUUACGAGAAAUCAAAGU
This 1020-nucleotide ribosomal RNA is filed under the name Alternaria smyrnii. RNAcentral's name for it is "SSU rRNA". It matches the Rfam family "Eukaryotic small subunit ribosomal RNA", at positions 75 to 1104 of the family's 1831-position model. Lineage: Eukaryota; Fungi; Ascomycota; Dothideomycetes; Pleosporales; Pleosporaceae. The record is from RNAcentral.